RNAcentral lists this long non-coding RNA (273 nucleotides) under Mytilus galloprovincialis (Mediterranean mussel). Lineage: Eukaryota; Metazoa; Mollusca; Bivalvia; Mytilida; Mytilidae. The record is from RNAcentral.
UUUGUAAAUCUAUUUGUGUUUUUGACUCGUGAUAAAAUGGAGUUAUUUCAAACACAUAAACUAUACUUUAGAUACGAGUAAAGGAAAAUUGUAAGCAAGCGUUCAAUAUACAUGUACAACAAUGCACCGACUCAAGUUACCAUCAGGCAUUUUUAUCCGACAUCAACACAUACAUGUAGGUUUCCUAACGUCACAAUGGAUUUAUUAUAAUUAAUUAUCAAAAAAUGUAAUAGUUAUCAUUACAAAAUAUCGUUUGAUAGAUUUAAAUAAACC